UUGUCUCCCUGUAUAAACAGAUAGACGAGAAUCACCUUCAUCCCUCACACACCCUGUAUAUACAGAGAGACAAGAAUCACCUUCAUCCCUCACAUACCCUGUAUAUACAGAGAGACAAGAAUCACCUUCAUCCCUCACACAACCUGUAUAUAGGUUACAAACCACCAAAUAGAUUUGUUCUUUAGUUUAAUGUAAAGUGACAAUAGUCAGGCCCAAAUUUUGACAUGUUUUAGUCUAUAGCCACCUGGUUUACAUACAUCAUGUUAAAGAAGUACCUUUCAGCUUUAAAAUAAUCCAAUAAAAAAGGGGGGUCAUGUAUCUUCUUAAGGAGGCAGUACACCCCUUUAACAGAUUUCAGUUUGGCCGACACGUACCCUUCUAUGUUAAGCACACGGAUUCAACGUCAGCCACACACCUGAAAAAAAAUGCAUGCUUUGUUGAACUAGCAUAUCCCAUAGCAGCCCAAAACACCCCAAAAACAGCCAAUCAAACAACAUCUUAACCAAUACAUGCAGCAUGUAGUUAUUUGUUUUGGUCGCGAAAACAUAUGACAAAACCCCCCUAAAUCAUACAUCUUCAACUCAGAAUAAAAUUGCUAUUUAGGUUGCUAGCUCUCCACACAAUGCUUCGUUGGCUUCCUUAAACUAUGCCUAACUCACAAUUGGAUCCAAAAUAAUAGCGAUUCCCUGUCGUUUUUCCACAAUUUUCAU
RNAcentral lists this small RNA (710 nucleotides) under Spisula solidissima (Atlantic surf clam). RNAcentral's name for it is "cnRNA290". Lineage: Eukaryota; Metazoa; Mollusca; Bivalvia; Venerida; Mactridae. The record is from RNAcentral.